ACGGAGGGUCCAAGCGUUAUCCGGAUUUAUUGGGUUUAAAGGGUACGUAGGCGGAACUUUAAGUCAGUAGUGAAAGCCCAUCGCUCAACGAUGGAACUGCUAUUGAAACUGAUUUUCUUGAAUAUAGUUGAAGUAGGCGGAAUACGACAUGUAGCGGUGAAAUGCAUAGAUAUGUCGUGGAACACCAAUCGCGAAGGCAGCUUACUAAGCUAUUAUUGACGCUAAGGUACGAAAGCGUGGGGAGCGAACAGG
This 252-nucleotide ribosomal RNA is filed under the name uncultured bacterium. RNAcentral describes it as "partial 16S ribosomal RNA". It matches the Rfam family "Bacterial small subunit ribosomal RNA", at positions 525 to 776 of the family's 1533-position model. The record is from RNAcentral.